This 484-nucleotide ribosomal RNA is filed under the name uncultured bacterium. RNAcentral's name for it is "partial 16S ribosomal RNA". It matches the Rfam family "Bacterial small subunit ribosomal RNA", at positions 29 to 507 of the family's 1533-position model. The record is from RNAcentral.
AUUGAACGCUGGCGGCAUGCUUUACACAUGCAAGUCGAACGGCAGCGCGGGCUUCGGCCUGGCGGCGAGUGGCGAACGGGUGAGUAAUACAUCGGAACGUGCCCAGUCGUGGGGGAUAGCUCGGCGAAAGCCGGAUUAAUACCGCAUACGACCUGAGGGUGAAAGCGGGGGAUCUUCGGACCUCGCGCUAUUGGAGCGGCCGAUGGCAGAUUAGCUAGUUGGUGGGGUAAAGGCCUACCAAGGCGACGAUCUGUAGCUGGUCUGAGAGGACGACCAGCCACACUGGAACUGAGACACGGCCCAGACUCCUACGGGAGGCAGCAGUGGGGAAUUUUGGACAAUGGGCGAAAGCCUGAUCCAGCAAUGCCGCGUGUGUGAUGAAGGCCUUCGGGUUGUAAAGCACUUUUGGCGGGAACGAAAAGGACUGUGCCAAUACCACGGUUCGAUGACGGUACCCGCAGAAUAAGCACCGGCUAACUACGUG